UACGUAGGGUGCGAGCGUUUGUCCGGAAUUAUUGGGCGUAAAGGGCUCGUAGGCGGUUUGUCGCGUCGGGAGUGAAAUCCACUGGCUUAACUGGUGGCUUGCUUUCGAUACGGGCAGACUGGAGGUAUGCAGGGGAGAACGGAAUUCCUGGUGUAGCGGUGAAAUGCGCAGAUAUCAGGAGGAACACCGAUGGCGAAGGCAGAUCUCUGGGCCGUAACUGGACGCUGAGGAGCGAAAGCGUGGGGAGCGAACAGG
RNAcentral lists this ribosomal RNA (255 nucleotides) under uncultured bacterium. RNAcentral's name for it is "partial 16S ribosomal RNA". It matches the Rfam family "Bacterial small subunit ribosomal RNA", at positions 524 to 776 of the family's 1533-position model. The record is from RNAcentral.